RNAcentral lists this long non-coding RNA (451 nucleotides) under Elaeis guineensis (African oil palm). Its description in RNAcentral is "long non-coding RNA (EGUI_LNC023966)". Lineage: Eukaryota; Viridiplantae; Streptophyta; Magnoliopsida; Arecales; Arecaceae. The record is from RNAcentral.
GGAGGAUGAUGAAAGAGAGGGAGAUCGAGAGAGGGGCACAGCCUGCAUCCGACCACUGAGGAAGGGGGAGAAAGAGAGAUGAUCCACCAUCAAAAGGGACUGACGAAGAGAGAGAGAAAAAUCCGACCUACCAUCGUCCGAUAACCAUCGGAGAGAUUUGCCAAUGGGGACCCGAACUUAAAGAGAAAAGAGGGAGGGCAGGUCCACCACCGAAAGGGAUCUGCGAAGGGGGAGAAAGAGAGAAAGAGGAGGGGUCUGACCUUCCACUGUCUGCCGUUCGCCACUCGCCGCCUAUCGGAGGGAGUGAUCCAUUGAUGGGGACCGGAACAUAAAGAGAAGAGAGGGAGGGAGGGGGAAGAUGGAACCAAGAGGGAGAGAAGAAGGAGAAGAGAGGGAAGGAGAGAGGCCCAACACCGACUAUCUAAAGGGAAGAGAAAGGGAUCCCGACGGC